UACGAAGGGUGCUAGCGUUGUUCGGAAUUACUGGGCGUAAAGGGCGUGUAGGCGGAUGAUCAAGCUAGGGGUGAAAGCCCAGGGCCCAACCCUGGAACUGCCUUUAGAACUGAUUGUCUAGAAUCCGUAAGGGGAGUGUGGAAUUCCUAGUGUAGAGGUGAAAUUCGUAGAUAUUAGGAAGAACACCAGUGGCGAAGGCGGCACUCUGGUACGGUAUUGACGCUGAGGCGCGAAAGCGUGGGGAGCAAACAGG
This 253-nucleotide ribosomal RNA is filed under the name uncultured bacterium. Its description in RNAcentral is "partial 16S ribosomal RNA". It matches the Rfam family "Bacterial small subunit ribosomal RNA", at positions 524 to 776 of the family's 1533-position model. The record is from RNAcentral.